UACGUAGGGGGCAAGCGUUGUCCGGAAUCAUUGGGCGUAAAGAGCGCGUAGGCGGUCCGGUAAGUCCGCUCUGAAAGUCCGGGGCUCAACCCCGGGAGGCGGGCGGAUACUGUCGGGCUAGAGUCCGGAAGAGGCGAGUGGAAUUCCUGGUGUAGCGGUGAAAUGCGUAGAUAUCAGGAGGAACACCUGUGGCGAAAGCGGCGCACUGGACCACAACUGACGCUGAGGCGCGAAAGCUAGGGGAGCAAACAGG
RNAcentral lists this ribosomal RNA (253 nucleotides) under uncultured bacterium. RNAcentral describes it as "partial 16S ribosomal RNA". It matches the Rfam family "Bacterial small subunit ribosomal RNA", at positions 524 to 776 of the family's 1533-position model. The record is from RNAcentral.